Molecule: transfer RNA, 73 nt
Filed under: Lachnospiraceae bacterium
Lineage: Bacteria; Bacillati; Bacillota; Clostridia; Lachnospirales; Lachnospiraceae
Also listed under: 1 other name
Description: tRNA-Val
Rfam family: tRNA
About the family: Transfer RNA (tRNA) molecules are approximately 80 nucleotides in length. Their secondary structure includes four short double-helical elements and three loops (D, anti-codon, and T loops).
Source: RNAcentral
GGGGUCAUAGCUCAGCUGGGAGAGCAUCUGCCUUACAAGCAGAGGGUCAUAGGUUCGAGCCCUAUUGGCCCCA